This 538-nucleotide long non-coding RNA is filed under the name Junco hyemalis (dark-eyed junco). RNAcentral describes it as "lncRNA (ENSJHYG00000014912.1)". Lineage: Eukaryota; Metazoa; Chordata; Aves; Passeriformes; Passerellidae. The record is from RNAcentral.
UAAUUAUUAGCUAAUUGGCUGGGAUGUAUCUCAUUUGUAACAAAUGAGGAGAGGAAGGCUCUGAGGCUGUGGCUGGUGGAGGCGGAGCUGUUUAACUCCUGGUUGAGCUGGCAUAAGAAGUUGCUAUCCUGGUCUCUGGGAGGGGGCUCUGUGGUGUGGUGAUGCCUUAUCGAGGUGUGUGUCCACAAGGAUUGGUGGGUGUCACCUGCAGGCUGUCACCCACCAGCCUUUCUUGCUCAUGGACCAGGCUUUUGGAGAUUGCCUGCCACGGUGCUUCAUGGGCUGAUGCCCUCAGCAAGACAGCAGUCAGGUGCCACACUAUCAGAAGGAUGUCCUUUCUGAACUUCUGACAUGAUUUAGCAGGCACAGACCGGUGUGGUCAGUGAAGUCACAUCCUGCAGCUUCACGUUGUGCGCCACAACCACGUGCUGCCAGGCCAAGAAGCCACCAAUGGGGUUCUCCAUCCAUCCCCCCUGGUGUCAGGCCCUCAAAGGACAGGCUGCAGUGCCAGGUGAGUGGUUUUAACACAGUUGACAGU